Molecule: ribosomal RNA, 253 nt
Filed under: uncultured bacterium
Lineage: Bacteria
Description: partial 16S ribosomal RNA
Rfam family: Bacterial small subunit ribosomal RNA
Source: RNAcentral
UACGGGGGGGGCAAGCGUUGUUCGGAAUUACUGGGCGUAAAGGGCUCGUAGGCGGCCAACUAAGUCAGACGUGAAAUCCCUCGGCUUAACCGGGGAACUGCGUCUGAUACUGGAUGGCUCGAGAUUGGGAGAGGGAUGCGGAAUUCCAGGUGUAGCGGUGAAAUGCGUAGAUAUCUGGAGGAACACCGGUGGCAAAGGCGGCAUCCUGGACCAACACUGACGCUGAGGAGCGAAAGCCAGGGGAGCAAACGGG